GAUGAACGCUGGCGGCGUGCCUAGUACAUGCAAGUCGAGCGAACAGACGAGAAGCUUGCUCCUCUGACGUUAGCGGCGGACGGGUGAGUAACACGUGGAUAACCUACCUAUAAGACUGGGAUAACUUCGGGAAACCGGAGCUAAUACCGGAUAAUAUAUUGAACCGCAUGGUUCAAUAGUGAAAGACGGUUUUGCUGUCACUUAUAGAUGGAUCCGCGCCGCAUUAGCUAGUUGGUAAGGUAACGGCUUACCAAGGCAACGAUGCGUAGCCGACCUGAGAGGGUGAUCGGCCACACUGGAACUGAGACACGGUCCAGACUCCUACGGGAGGCAGCAGUAGGGAAUCUUCCGCAAUGGGCGAAAGCCUGACGGAGCAACGCCGCGUGAGUGAUGAAGGUCUUCGGAUCGUAAAACUCUGUUAUUAGGGAAGAACAUAUGUGUAAGUAACUAUGCACGUCUUGACGGUACCUAAUCAGAAAGCCACGGCUAACUACGUG
RNAcentral lists this ribosomal RNA (497 nucleotides) under uncultured bacterium. RNAcentral describes it as "partial 16S ribosomal RNA". It matches the Rfam family "Bacterial small subunit ribosomal RNA", at positions 28 to 507 of the family's 1533-position model. The record is from RNAcentral.